AUAACGUUUUAAGCCCGGGGUUGAAAUCGUCCAUGUAAUCGCAAAAAAUUUCAACCCGUUUAACAGGGCUGAGUUCAACCCCGGGGUUGAGAAUGCUCCAUGUAAUCGGCCCCUUAGUUUAAUUCUCUCUUCUUUCGCCGCCUUCGUCUUUUCGCGCCCGCGGACCUUAAUUGUCAGCGAUCAUAUAUACUUCGUGAAACGUCAUGUAGAGUGAUAGUAUAAUGACUCCAAGCAGUUUAAAAUGUUUACAGAAUUUCGAGAGAAGAAAU
Molecule: non-coding RNA, 269 nt
Organism: Paramuricea clavata
Lineage: Eukaryota; Metazoa; Cnidaria; Anthozoa; Malacalcyonacea; Plexauridae
Source: the annotation of a GenBank genome assembly